GAUGAACGCUGGCGGCGUGCCUAAUACAUGCAAGUCGAGCGAACAGACGAGGAGCUUGCUCCUUUGACGUUAGCGGCGGACGGGUGAGUAACACGUGGGUCACCUACCUAUAAGACUGGGAUAACUUCGGGAAACCGGAGCUAAUACCGGAUAAUAUUUCGAACCGCAUGGUUCGAUAGUGAAAGAUGGCUCUGCUAUCACUUAUAGAUGGACCUGCGCCGUAUUAGCUAGUUGGUAAGGUAACGGCUUACCAAGGCAACGAUACGUAGCCGACCUGAGAGGGUGAUAGGCCACACUGGAACUGAGCCACGGUCCAGACUCCUACGGGAGGCAGCAGUAGGGAAUCUUCCGCAAUGGGCGAAAGCAUGACGGAGCAACGCCGCGUGAGUGAUGAAGGUCUUCGGAUCGUAAAACUCUGUUAUUAGGGAAGAACAAACGUGUAAGUAACUGUGCACGUCUUGACGGUACCUAAUCAGAAAGCCACGGCUAACUACGUG
Molecule: ribosomal RNA, 497 nt
Filed under: uncultured bacterium
Lineage: Bacteria
Description: partial 16S ribosomal RNA
Rfam family: Bacterial small subunit ribosomal RNA
Source: RNAcentral